RNAcentral lists this transfer RNA (72 nucleotides) under Streptohalobacillus salinus. Its description in RNAcentral is "Halolactibacillus sp. H96B60 tRNA". It matches the Rfam family "tRNA". Rfam says of the family: Transfer RNA (tRNA) molecules are approximately 80 nucleotides in length. Their secondary structure includes four short double-helical elements and three loops (D, anti-codon, and T loops). The record is from Rfam by way of RNAcentral. Lineage: Bacteria; Bacillati; Bacillota; Bacilli; Caryophanales; Bacillaceae.
GCUUCCAUAGCUCAGGGGUAGAGCACUUCCAUGGUAAGGAAGGGGUCGUCGGUUCAAUUCCGACUGGAAGCU